AGGAGCAACAGCCCUAGUGGCGGGGCCAGCUCUGGAAACCUGGAUUCAGCCCCCGCAGGAACUCCGGAGCUCUCGGUCUGCAGGGCCUGGAGGCUCCGGGGCGGG
RNAcentral lists this microRNA precursor (105 nucleotides) under Canis lupus familiaris (dog). RNAcentral describes it as "mir-8834 microRNA precursor family". It matches the Rfam family "mir-8834 microRNA precursor family". RNAcentral also lists the same sequence under 1 other name. Lineage: Eukaryota; Metazoa; Chordata; Mammalia; Carnivora; Canidae. The record is from Rfam by way of RNAcentral.